Molecule: ribosomal RNA, 610 nt
Filed under: uncultured bacterium
Lineage: Bacteria
Description: bacterial SSU rRNA
Rfam family: Bacterial small subunit ribosomal RNA (bases 1-522)
Source: RNAcentral
CCUACGGGAGGCAGCAGUGGGGAAUAUUGGACAAUGGGCGAAAGCCUGAUCCAGCAAUGCCGCGUGAGUGAUGAAGGCCUUCGGGUCGUAAAGCUCUUUUACCAGGGAUGAUAAUGACAGUACCUGGAGAAUAAGCUCCGGCUAACUCCGUGCCAGCAGCCGCGGUAAUACGGAGGGAGCUAGCGUUGUUCGGAAUUACUGGGCGUAAAGAGUACGUAGGCGGUUAUUCAAGUCAGAGGUGAAAGCCCGGGGCUCAACCCCGGAACUGCCUUUGAAACUAGAUAACUAGAGUCUUGGAGAGGUUAGUGGAAUUCCGAGUGUAGAGGUGAAAUUCGUAGAUAUUCGGAAGAACACCAGUGGCGAAGGCGACUAACUGGACAAGUACUGACGCUGAGGUACGAAAGCGUGGGGAGCAAACAGGAUUAGAUACCCUGGUAGUCCACGCCGUAAACGAUGAUAACUAGUUGUUCGGUCACUUGGUGUACUGAGUGACGCGAGACUACGACAUUAAGUUAUUCCGUCCGUCGGGUAGGUACGGUCGUCGAGAGUAAACGUAACAAAGUAGUAGUAGACGCGUGUAGAGUUGACGACGACGACGACGAGGAGGAGG